GCCUCUCUAGCUCAGUGGUAGAGCAACUGAUUCGUAAUUAGUAGGUCGCCAGUUCAACUCUGGUGAGAGGCU
Molecule: transfer RNA, 72 nt
Filed under: Bacteroidota bacterium
Lineage: Bacteria; Pseudomonadati; Bacteroidota
Also listed under: 1 other name
Description: Bacteroidetes bacterium (marine metagenome) tRNA-Thr
Rfam family: tRNA
About the family: Transfer RNA (tRNA) molecules are approximately 80 nucleotides in length. Their secondary structure includes four short double-helical elements and three loops (D, anti-codon, and T loops).
Source: RNAcentral